AAUAAUCAACAGAAGGAUGGGAAGAAUGAACACGAAACAAACUUUCAUUACUGUAGAAGGCGACUUACAAGAUAGGCUUUAACCCUUUGUCGGAAUAAGUCUUGCAACCAUUCCUCCUGCCACCACUGUCUCCAUUAUAUUAAACUUUUCUCCCUGUAGAAACUGGACAGUUAUAGGCCCGCUCCAACAAGGAGGAAGGAAAGAAAGCUGAAGCUGUGUACAAGCUUCACACCCAGAUCUGGAACUUGCUUUGUCAGGACAGUGGCUCAAAAUAUUCCUGUCCUAAUUCACUUCUCUCCUGAAAGUAGAAGUUUCUUCCUAAAAACACACAAGUAGGAAAUUUCCCCUAACACUAGCUCAAGGAGAUUCUAUGAUUCAGAGAGUGACAUAUGUUAGAUAUAAUUCUAACACUGAUCGCAGUUUUAAUGAAAUGUCUGUUUUCCUUGCACUUCAUCUCUAGAACCAGACAUUAUUAACACAUGUAUCCCGACCCUUCACACAGUGCUUGGCACUUCACAGAUUUCUAAAAGAAUUUCUCAAAUAAAUAAAAAUUGGAAUAAAAUAAGAAAAGGCUCCUGGCAGAGACAAAACAACAGUCUAGGAGUAAGAUAAGCACUUUCCAGAGUAACCCUUCCUGAGACAUGUGGACCCUUGCAUUGUACAUGUGGUCCUUGGAAAACCUGGAAAUCACCCAAAUUCAACCAGAGUAACUGUGUGCAUCUUCAGAUCUCAAAUUUGUUAGUAAUUUUUCAUGGAGUCAUCUCUCUUCGUGGCACACAGAGAUACUCAUUGUGUCCUGAAGGCUCUAGUUCACUAUGUGGUCCACUUAGUAAAAUGCUCCAAUACUUUGGCCACUUGAUGCAAAGAACUGACUCAUUGGAAAUGACCCUGUUGCUGGAAAAGAUUGAGGGCAGGAGGAGAAAGGGACAACAGAGGAUAAGAUGGUUGGAUGGCAUCACUGACUUCAUCAUCACUGAUAAGUCUGAGCAAACUCUGGGAGUUGCCAAUGGA
RNAcentral lists this long non-coding RNA (1011 nucleotides) under Bos indicus x Bos taurus (hybrid cattle). RNAcentral's name for it is "lncRNA (ENSBIXG00000016732.1)". Lineage: Eukaryota; Metazoa; Chordata; Mammalia; Artiodactyla; Bovidae. The record is from RNAcentral.